AUAAUGUCAAUUCAUAGGUGGUAGGGAGGGGUUCGGGGGAGGUCCUCCUCUCCUGAUACCGAGCUCGGUAGGGCUCGGAACCUUUGAUUAAAAAAAUAACUUUUAAGAGUUGAACCUAACUACCGAAAAAUGAUCGAAGGUAAUCUUUUCGAACUAGAAAGCUGCGAAGCAGACCUUAUGAAUUGAACCUAAUUUUUCUUUUUGCUUCUUUUUCUUUUUGACGAGUAUUAAGCACCAAAGAAAAAAAAGCAAAAGAAAAAUUGACAGGUUCCGAUACUAAAUCUAUAACAGUAUGGAGCCAUCGUUGCGUCGUUAGCAUGCUUGUGAUCUAGUCCUAUCCUUUUGGGAAGGAGGAUCGACAAGCGACUCUGUAGUUUCUGUCUCCCAACCCAUAGGUAAGGGCACGCCAACAGACUUCAGACAUCAAUGUCCGUCGUCUUGUACGGUCGUGGUCGAGUUAAGCCUAAAACGUAGAGUUUUCACUUAGUUCUUCCUUACUGGUAGAAUCCCUAAGUGACACCUCUAAGAGUGCUUAAGCAAGGUAACAUUCUUUUUUCAAACACGCCUUACUCCACACUGAAUUACCUCUCGAGAUCUAACUCAUAUUCUCUAUCUAAUCUCCCUUGUUCUCUAGCUUCGCUAGUCGGACUGGAUUAGGCAAAAAUCUCUUGAAUUAUGAGUUGGUUUUUGACUCUUUGAGGGUUCACAGGAUAAGAGCCUGUCGGCAAACAUGGGAACAUGCCUGAAGCUUGGUUCCCAGACGCGUAAGCUACUCAGAAAGCACCACACGACGAUGAUCUCGAAUAUCAUUAUACGAUUUUUCGUAAAAUGAGAAAUCGGUUUGGAUAUUAGUAGGAAGAUCUGACACCAAAGACCGAGCGAGUUGGUUUGUGGACCCAACUUGCGAGGUUACCCCCGAGCCUGAAGCGAGGGCACCGCAGCUACUUUCCAAGCAGCGAGGAUACAGUACCCUUCAGUAAUAUAUAAAAUAACUUAUUUAUUUAUAUAAACUUAUACUUAUAUAAAUAUAUACUUAUAUAAAUAGUUUUUUAUAUCUUAUUAUAUUUAGUAAAGGCUUAUCUUUCUAAAGAAAAAUGAGCUAUAUAGCAUUUUAGAUGAUCCCUAAUGGCAUACAUUAAAAGUAGUUAUAGAAGCUAUUCUGACGCUAAUCUGUGGCCAUAAAACACUUUUUAAAUUUGAUACAAGUGCCUAUACGGGCGUACACGCACACGCGCAUGCGUAAAGAGAUCCCCCUAUAGAAGAUACUCCUCUUACACAUAAUAGUAAGGGCGAGGGAUUUCCUCGGCUCUGAUUCUCCUCUUGUUAUAGUAUGGACCCUCAUUAUUUAUACUUCAUAGUAUAAAUAAUAUCAAUUCAUAGGUGGUAGGGAGGGGUUCGGGGGAGGUCCUCCUCCCCUGAUACCGAGCCCGAUAGGGCUCGGAACCUUUGAUUAAAAAAAUAACUUUUAGGAGUUGAACCUAACUACCGAAAAGUGAUCGAAGGUAAUCUUUUCGAACUAGAAAGCUGUGAAGCAGACCUUAUGAAUUGAACCUAAUUUUUUUUUGCUUCUUUUUCUUUUUGGCGAGUGUUAAGCACCAAAGAAAAAAAAGCAAAAGAAAAAUUGGCAGGUUUCAAUACUAAAUCUAUAACAGUAUGGAGCCAUCGUCGCGUCGUUAGCAUGCUUGUGAUCUAGUCCUAUCCUUUUGGGAAGGAGGAUCGACAAGUGACCCUAUAGUUUCUGUCUCCCAGNNNNNNNNNNNNNNNNNNNNAAGCAAAAGAAAAAUUGGCAGGUUUCAAUACUAAAUCUAUAACAGUAUGGAGCCAUCGUCGCGUCGUUAGCAUGCUUGUGAUCUAGUC
This 1857-nucleotide long non-coding RNA is filed under the name Elaeis guineensis (African oil palm). RNAcentral describes it as "long non-coding RNA (EGUI_LNC022135)". The record is from RNAcentral. Lineage: Eukaryota; Viridiplantae; Streptophyta; Magnoliopsida; Arecales; Arecaceae.